This 253-nucleotide ribosomal RNA is filed under the name uncultured bacterium. Its description in RNAcentral is "partial 16S ribosomal RNA". It matches the Rfam family "Bacterial small subunit ribosomal RNA", at positions 524 to 776 of the family's 1533-position model. The record is from RNAcentral.
UACGGAGGGGGCGAGCGUUGUUCGGAAUCAUUGGGCGUAAAGGGCGCGUAGGCGGCCGAUCAAGUCGGAGGUGAAAUCCCUCGGCUCAACUGAGGAAUUGCCUUCGAUACUGUUCGGCUUGAGUCCUGGAGAGGGUAGCGGAAUUCCCGGUGUAGCGGUGAAAUGCGUAGAGACCGGGAAGAACACCAGUGGCGAAGGCGGCUACCUGGACAGGUACUGACGCUGAAGCGCGAAAGCUAGGGGAGCAAACAGG